AGCGAACGCUGGCGGCAGGCCUAACACAUGCGAGUCGAACGAACUCUUCGGAGUUAGUGGCGGACGGGUGAGUAACACGUGGGAACGUGCCUUUAGGUUCGGAAUAACUCAGGGAAACUUGUGCUAAUACCGAAUGUGCCCUUCGGGGGAAAGAUUUAUCGCCUUUAGAGCGGCCCGCGUCUGAUUAGCUAGUUGGUGAGGUAAAGGCUCACCAAGGCGACGAUCAGUAGCUGGUCUGAGAGGAUGAUCAGCCACAUUGGGACUGAGACACGGCCCAAACGCCUACGGGCGGCAGCAGUGGGGAAUCUUGCGCAAUGGGCGAAAGCCUGACGCAGCCAUGCGGCGUGAAUGAUGAAGGUCUUAGGAUUGUAAAAUUCUUUCACCGGGGACGAUAAUGACGGUACCCGGAGAAGAAGCCCCGGCUAACUUCGUGCCAGCCGCCGCCGUAA
This 449-nucleotide ribosomal RNA is filed under the name uncultured bacterium. Its description in RNAcentral is "partial 16S ribosomal RNA". It matches the Rfam family "Bacterial small subunit ribosomal RNA", at positions 29 to 523 of the family's 1533-position model. The record is from RNAcentral.